GAUGAACGCUGGCGGCGUGCCUAAUACAUGCAAGUCGAGCGAACAGACUAGUACCUUCCUCCUCUGACGUUAGCGGCGGACGUGUGAGUAACACGUGGAUAACCUACCUAUAAUACUGGUAUAACUUCGGGACACCGUCGCUAAUACCGUAUAAUAUAUUUAACCGUAUUGUUCAAUAGUGAAAUACGGUUUUGCUUUCACUUAUAGCUUGUUCCGCGGCGCAGUAGCUAGUUGGUUAGGUAACGGUUUACCAAGGCGACGCUUCGUAGCCGACCUGAGAGGGUGAGCGGCCACAAUGGAACUGAGAGACGGUUCAGAAUCGUAAGGGAGGCAGCAGUAGGGAAGCAUGCGGAAGGGGCGAAAGCCGGACGGAGCAACGAAGCGUGAGUGAUGAAGGUCGUCGGAUCGUAAAACGCUGUUAUGAGGGAAGAACAAAUGUGUAAGUAACUAGGCACGUCUUGACGGUACCUAAUCAGAAAGCCACGGCUAACUACGUG
RNAcentral lists this ribosomal RNA (497 nucleotides) under uncultured bacterium. Its description in RNAcentral is "partial 16S ribosomal RNA". It matches the Rfam family "Bacterial small subunit ribosomal RNA", at positions 28 to 507 of the family's 1533-position model. The record is from RNAcentral.